GACGAACGCUGGCGGCGUGCCUAACACAUGCAAGUCGAACGAAGCUUGACGAACGAUUCUUCGGAUGAAUUCUGAUAUGACUGAGUGGCGGACGGGUGAGUAACGCGUGAGGAACCUGCCUCAAAGAGGGGGACAACAGUUGGAAACGACUGCUAAUACCGCAUAAGCCCACGGCUCGGCAUCGAGCAGAGGGAAAAGGAGCAAUCCGCUUUGAGAUGGCCUCGCGUCCGAUUAGCUAGUUGGUGAGGUAAUGGCCCACCAAGGCGACGAUCGGUAGCCGGACUGAGAGGUUGAACGGCCACAUUGGGACUGAGACACGGCCCAGACUCCUACGGGAGGCAGCAGUGGGGAAUAUUGCACAAUGGGGGAAACCCUGAUGCAGCGACGCCGCGUGGAGGAAGAAGGUCUUCGGAUUGUAAACUCCUGUUGUUGAGGAAGAUAAUGACGGUACUCAACAAGGAAGUGACGGCUAACUACGUGCCAGCAGCCGG
RNAcentral lists this ribosomal RNA (491 nucleotides) under uncultured bacterium. RNAcentral's name for it is "bacterial SSU rRNA". It matches the Rfam family "Bacterial small subunit ribosomal RNA", at positions 28 to 518 of the family's 1533-position model. The record is from RNAcentral.